Long non-coding RNA from Prosopis cineraria, 447 nucleotides. RefSeq lists it as uncharacterized. NCBI's taxonomy places the organism in Eukaryota, Viridiplantae, Streptophyta, Magnoliopsida, Fabales, Fabaceae. The transcript is spliced from 2 exons. The record is from RefSeq and is a predicted model, not a curated record.
UGUGAUACUAGAAGUGAAUUGAGGAUAAAAAAAAUAGUUCAUUAGGGUACAAGAAUUUUAGAAAAGAAUUUGGAAAGUUAAAUGAGGCAUAAAUCUUAAAUUAGUGUUAAUAUGGACUAUAGAUCUAAGACUUUCUAACUCUUUAAAUUAGAGUUAUUUAUUUUAAUGUAAAAUUAAUAUAUAGUAUUGUGAAAUAAUUAUGUAGAUUAUAUUGACAAAGAUAGUGGUGAAAAAGGAGUUGUGAAGGGGAACUUGUUAUUCAAGACACAAGGAGCGAAUCCGGCCGAGAAAGCACCAGAGGUGUAAUUAUGGUGUAUGAGACACCAUCUUUUACGUUGCCUCUUAUUUUGAAUUAUACAAUGUAUCUUGUGCCAACUUAGGACAUAUCUUGUCUAUGGAGCAUGUAAACUCUAAUCCUUUUUAUUAAAUGCAUUUAUAUGUCCAAAA